CCCUUAGAUGUUCUGGGCCGCACGCGUGCUACACUGAGUGGAUCAGCGGGUCAGGUUACGCGAGAGCGUUUCCUAAUCUUCAAAUCCGCUCGUGAUGGGGAUUGACGGUUGCAAUUUUCCGUCAUGAACGAGGAAUACCUUGUAAGCGCGGGUCAUCAUCCCGCGCUGAAUACGUCCCCGCCCUUUGUACACACCGCCCGUCGCUCCUACCGAUUGAGUGGUCCGGUGAGGCUUUGGGAUCUGAGCGGAAAGAGCGUUUCGCUGUUUCUGCUCGGAAAACUCAGUCGAACCUUAUCAUUUAGAGGAAGGAGAAGUCGUAACA
RNAcentral lists this ribosomal RNA (322 nucleotides) under uncultured eukaryote. RNAcentral's name for it is "partial 18S ribosomal RNA". It matches the Rfam family "Eukaryotic small subunit ribosomal RNA", at positions 1470 to 1796 of the family's 1831-position model. The record is from RNAcentral.